AAGGACAGUGGCAAACGGGUGCGCAAUACGUAAGUAACCUAUCCCUAAGUGCGGAAUAGCUCUGAGAAAUCGGAGGUAAUACCGCGUGUGGUGGUGGGGGUAAGGCUUCACCACUAAAGCCCUUCGCAAGAAGGGCGCUUGGGGAGGGGCUUGCGUCCUAUCAGGUAGUUGGUGGGGUAAUGGCUCACCAAGCCGAUGACGGGUAGCUGGUUUGAGAGGACGACCAGCCACACGGGGACUGAGACACGGCCCCGACUCCUACGGGAGGCAGCAGCAAGGAAUAUUGUGCAAUGGGCGAAAGCCUGACACAGCGACGCCGCGUGAGGGAUGAAGGCCUUCGGGUUGUAAACCUCUUUUCCUAGGGACGAAUAAUGACGGUACCUAGGGAAUAAGUCUCGGCCAACUACGUGCCAGCAGCCGCGGUAAUACGUAGGAGGCAAGCGUUAUCCGGAUUCAUUGGGCGUAAAGAGCGAGUAGGCGGCCCUUCAAGUCGGAUGUGAAAUAUCCUGGCUUAACUGGGAGGGGUCAUGCGAUACUGUUAGGCUUGAGUGCAGCAGAGGGAAGCGGAAUCCCGGUGGAGUGGUGAAAUGCGUAGAUAUCGGGAGGAACACCAGUGGCGAAGGCGGCUUUCUGGGCUGUAACUGACGCUGAGACGCGAAAGCGUGGGGAGCGAACAGGAUUAGAUACCCUGGUAGUCCACGCCCUAAACGAUGGAUACUAGGUAUAGGGAGUAUCGACUCUCUCUGUGCCGAAGUUAACACUUUAAGUAUCCCGCCUGGGGAGUACGGUCGCAAGACUAAAACUCAAAGGAAUUGACGGGGGCCCGCACAAGCAGCGGAGCGUGUGGUUUAAUUCGAUGCAACACGAAGAACCUCACCAAGGCUUGACAUGACGGCAGUAGUGAACCGAAAGGGGAACGACCUGUUAAGUCAGGAGCCGCCACAGGUGCUGCAUGGCUGUCGUCAGCUCGUGCCAUGAGGUGUUGGGUUAAGUCCCGUAACGAGCGCAACCCUUAUUGCUAGUUAAUUUCUCUAGCGAGACUGCCCCGCAAAACGGGGAGGAAGGUGGGGAUGACGUCAAGUCAGCACGGCCCUUAUGCCUUGGGCGACACACACGCUACAAUGGGUGGUACAGUAGGCUGCAAUGGAGUGAUCCGGAGCUAAUCCCGAAAAACCAUCCUCAAUUCGGAUUGCAGGCUGAAACCCGCCUGCAUGAAGUCGGAGUUG
Molecule: ribosomal RNA, 1226 nt
Filed under: uncultured Chloroflexota bacterium
Lineage: Bacteria; Bacillati; Chloroflexota
Description: bacterial SSU rRNA
Rfam family: Bacterial small subunit ribosomal RNA
Source: RNAcentral